GACAGAGGGUGCAAACGUUGUUCGGAUUUACUGGGCGUAAAGCGCGUGUAGGCGGCUUGGCAAGUUGAAUGUGAAAGCCCACGGCUCAACCGUGGAAGCGCAUCCAAAACUGCUUCGCUUGAGUCUCGGAGAGGGAGGUGGAAUGCUUGGUGUAGAGGUGAAAUUCGUAGAUAUCAAGCAGAACACCUGCGGCGAAGGCGGCCUUCUGGACGAUGACUGACGCUGAGACGCGAAAGCGUGGGGAGCAAACCGG
This 253-nucleotide ribosomal RNA is filed under the name uncultured bacterium. Its description in RNAcentral is "partial 16S ribosomal RNA". It matches the Rfam family "Bacterial small subunit ribosomal RNA", at positions 524 to 776 of the family's 1533-position model. The record is from RNAcentral.